AUUUAAUUGAAGCUAUUUCAGAACAUUAAAUUUUUAGUUAUAAAAGGGAUCAAACUUUUGUUUAUUUAUAACAUGCAAAGGAUGGAACAUAUGACUAAAAUUCAAUUUUGUGUUUAUGUUUUGAUCAUAUUUCUGUCUUUAUUUCUUGUUGUAACUUGUGGUAAAGUUUACGAAUGUUAUAAUUACAUUGAUUGUCCAGUUGGUUGUCGCGCCUGUUAUAUGAGGUGCAUUGAUGGCCAGUGUAUUCCGUUUAUUAAAAAACUUAUAUAAUUUCAUUUGUACGUCAUAGUAUAGUAAGUAUUUGUAUUUUUAUAUAAUUUACCUCAAAGUUUGAUUUAUAA
Molecule: long non-coding RNA, 341 nt
Organism: Medicago truncatula (barrel medic)
Lineage: Eukaryota; Viridiplantae; Streptophyta; Magnoliopsida; Fabales; Fabaceae
Exons: 2
Source: RefSeq, a predicted model, not a curated record